This 119-nucleotide ribosomal RNA is filed under the name Triticum aestivum (bread wheat). The record is from RNAcentral. RNAcentral also lists the same sequence under 1 other name. Lineage: Eukaryota; Viridiplantae; Streptophyta; Magnoliopsida; Poales; Poaceae.
GGAUGCGAUCAUACCAGCACUAAAGCACCGGAUCCCAUCAGAACUCCGAAGUUAAGCGUGCUUGGGCGAGAUUAGUACUAGGAUGGGUGACCUCUUGGGAAGUCCUCGUGUUGCAUUCC